This 477-nucleotide ribosomal RNA is filed under the name uncultured bacterium. RNAcentral describes it as "bacterial SSU rRNA". It matches the Rfam family "Bacterial small subunit ribosomal RNA", at positions 30 to 504 of the family's 1533-position model. The record is from RNAcentral.
UGAACGCUAGCGGCAGGCCUAACACAUGCAAGUCGAACGGUAAGGCCCAGCUUGCUGGGUACACGAGUGGCGCACGGGUGAGUAACGCGUAUGCAACCUGCCUCGAACAGGAGGAUAGCCCCGAGAAAUUGGGAUUAAUACUCCAUAACACCAAUUGGUCGCAUGGCCAUAUGGUUAAAGCCCCGGCGGUUCGAGAUGGGCAUGCGUGACAUUAGUUUGUUGGUGAGGUAACGGCUCACCAAGACAGCGAUGUCUAGGGGUUCUGAGAGGACAGUCCCCCACACUGGUACUGAGACACGGACCAGACUCCUACGGGAGGCAGCAGUGAGGAAUAUUGGUCAAUGGGUGCAAGCCUGAACCAGCCAUGCCGCGUGCAGGAUGACGGCCCUAUGGGUUGUAAACUGCUUUUCCUGGGGAAGAACACCCGCCACGUGUGGCGGAUUGACGGUACCUGGGGAAUAAGCACCGGCUAACUCC